This 253-nucleotide ribosomal RNA is filed under the name uncultured bacterium. RNAcentral describes it as "partial 16S ribosomal RNA". It matches the Rfam family "Bacterial small subunit ribosomal RNA", at positions 524 to 776 of the family's 1533-position model. The record is from RNAcentral.
UACGUAGGGUGCGAGCGUUAAUCGGAAUUACUGGGCGUAAAGCGUGCGCAGGCGGUUCGUUAAGUCAGCUGUGAAAGCCCCGAGCUUAACUUGGGAAUUGCGAUUGAAACUGGCGGACUAGAAUCUGGCAGAGGGGGGUGGAAUUCCACGUGUAGCAGUGAAAUGCGUAGAGAUGUGGAGGAACACCGAUGGCGAAGGCAGCCCCCUGGGCUGAGAUUGACGCUCAGGCACGAAAGCGUGGGGAGCAAACAGG